This is a long non-coding RNA of Oncorhynchus nerka (sockeye salmon), 151 nucleotides long. RefSeq lists it as uncharacterized. The transcript has 3 exons. Lineage: Eukaryota; Metazoa; Chordata; Actinopteri; Salmoniformes; Salmonidae. The record is from RefSeq and is a predicted model, not a curated record.
CCACAGGGAAAAACAGGUGCAGAUGGGCCUACAGGUCCGAAAGGAGAUCCCGGUGACGCAGGUGAUGAGGGAAAUAUAGGAGAAUCGGGACUCUCUGGGCUUCACGGAGCCAAUGGCAAACCAGGAAAAACUGGACCCUCAGGUGACCCAG